GAUGAAGAACGCAGCGAAAUGCGAUAAGUAGUGUGAAUUGCAGAAUUCAGUGAAUCAUCGAAUCUUUGAACGCACAUUGCGCCCCUUGGUAUUCCAUGGGGCAUGCCUGUUCGAGCGUCAUUUCAACCCUCAAGCUCUGCUUGGUGUUGGGCCCUGCCCGCUGCGGCCGGCCCUAAAGACAGUGGCGGUGCCGCCUGGCCCUGAGCGUAGUACAUCUCUCGCUCCAGUGCCCGGUGGUAGCCUGCCAGAACCCCAACUCUCGUGGUUGACCUCGGAUCAGGUAGGGAUACCCGCUGAACUUAAGCAUAUCAAUAAGCGGAGGA
This 323-nucleotide unclassified non-coding RNA is filed under the name soil metagenome. RNAcentral's name for it is "partial contains 5.8S ribosomal RNA, internal transcribed spacer 2, and large subunit ribosomal RNA". The stretch from base 1 to 120 matches the Rfam family "5.8S ribosomal RNA", at positions 35 to 154 of the family's 154-position model. The record is from RNAcentral.